RNAcentral lists this long non-coding RNA (219 nucleotides) under Lathyrus oleraceus (garden pea). RNAcentral describes it as "Pisum sativum (pea) long non-coding RNA (PSAT_LNC016450)". Lineage: Eukaryota; Viridiplantae; Streptophyta; Magnoliopsida; Fabales; Fabaceae. The record is from RNAcentral.
UUUUUCUUUCCUAGAUGAGUUUGGUUUCGUAUUUCUAACAGCUUUGUUCUGAUUUACGCUUUUCCCCUGCAGUUGUUUCUUGCUGUAUUAGUGUUAUCCCAAUAUAUGCUGAUUUUCUUGUUCCCCAACCGAAUCUUUUCAUUGAUUUAUUUUCGUGGAAAUCCCUUCGUGUCUCCCAGCUGUUUUUAAGUCGUAGCCUGGCCUACGCAUAACUUUUUA